RNAcentral lists this ribosomal RNA (253 nucleotides) under uncultured bacterium. RNAcentral describes it as "partial 16S ribosomal RNA". It matches the Rfam family "Bacterial small subunit ribosomal RNA", at positions 524 to 776 of the family's 1533-position model. The record is from RNAcentral.
UACGUAGGGGGCAAGCGUUGUCCGGAAUCAUUGGGCGUAAAGCGCGUGUAGGCGGCUUGGCAAGUCCGCUGUGAAAACUCGAGGCUCAACCUCGAGAUGUCGGUGGAAACUGCCUGGCUAGAGUCCGGAAGAGGAGUGUGGAAUUCCUGGUGUAGCGGUGAAAUGCGCAGAUAUCAGGAAGAACACCUAUGGCGAAGGCAGCACUCUGGGACGGUACCGACGCUGAGACGCGAAAGCGUGGGGAGCGAACAGG